RNAcentral lists this ribosomal RNA (498 nucleotides) under uncultured bacterium. RNAcentral describes it as "partial 16S ribosomal RNA". It matches the Rfam family "Bacterial small subunit ribosomal RNA", at positions 27 to 507 of the family's 1533-position model. The record is from RNAcentral.
GGAUGAACGCUGGCGGCGUGCCUAAUACAUGCAAGUCGAGCGAACAGACGAGGAGCUUGCUCCUCUGACGUUAGCGGCGGACGGGUGAGUAACACGUGGAUAACCUACCUAUAAGACUGGGAUAACUUCGGGAAACCGGAGCUAAUACCGGAUAAUAUAUUGAACCGCAUGGUUCAAUAGUGAAAGACGGUUUUGCUGUCACUUAUAGAUGGAUCCGCGCCGCAUUAGCUAGUUGGUAAGGUAACGGCUUACCAAGGCGACGAUGCGUAGCCGACCUGGGAGGGUGAUCGGCCACACUGGAACUGAGACACGGUCCAGACUCCUACGGGAGGCAGCAGUAGGGAAUCUUCCGCAAUGGGCGAAAGCCUGACGGAGCAACGCCGCGUGAGUGAUGAAGGUCUUCGGAUCGUAAAACUCUGUUAUUAGGGAAGAACAAAUGUGUAAGUAACUAUGCACGUCUUGACGGUACCUAAUCAGAAAGCCACGGCUAACUACGUG